UUCCAAAGAAGAUAUCGUAAAGGUAUUGGCUUCAGUGAGGUUUUUUUAGAUGGUAUUUGUGAUAAAAUGCAAGUGAAUCAAGUAUAGACAUUUAAUUCAACAGCUUUGUUAAAAGUAAGUUAUGCCUUGAAUGUUCCCAUUAUUAAUUAUAGGACAGAUCUAACAGCAGAGUGAGUGAUGAAAGCCACCAUAUUUUAGGAAUCUAAAAUCUAAUUAAUGUGUUAUCUCAUUCUAACCACUCAUAAAGAUGAAGUGUGAUGAAUUCUACCAUUUUGUAUAAGAACUCAUAAAGUAAAAGUCAUUUCAAUCCUUUGAGAACUCAUUUGUUUCUUCCAAGAUCAAAUAGUGACUAAGUGCAUACGUAAGCAGACUCACUUCACAACAUCACCCAGUGUACUUCAAGGAAUACGGAGAAAUAUGAGACUAUAUGAACUCUGAAGUUGAGUGUAGCUGAAAGAUAAAGGAAGAUUAAAAUUAGAAAGUUCAUUUAUCACUUGAAAAAGCUGCAGUGAGAGAGACUUAUGAGUAUACAACUCUGUGUUGUCCACAGGCAGGAAGUAUCAAUCAUAAGUGUAAUAGAAAGUUUAUGAUCAGAGUGUGUUUAAAUGAGCAAAUACAUUAGUAACAGUGACAUUAACAGAAUAUCCCACAUCAUGAUCCUCCCUAAAUGGCAAGGGAAGAAGGCCUAAGGAAAAAAAUGAGGACUAGAAUAGUAUCACUGUCUUUAGUAAAAUGUAGAAUGAAAAAUACAAAGAGCAAUAAAACUUAAUGCUGCUGUUCUUUUACAGUGGUUUAUUUUUAAACAAGAAAAUGUUUUUCUACAAAAGAAAGCAAAGUUCAUGAGGAUCUGCAAUUGAAAACUUAUGAGAGUCUCUCAUGGUAGUGGAGGGCAAUAAAUCACAAAUAGUGUCAGCAUGAAUGGAGGGUACUCACAUGCUGGAAAGCAGAUGCCAAGGAAAUAAUGGAGCCAUUUUCAACAUUUGCAGAUCAAGCAUGCAAAAACAUAGUCUGCUCAUGUACCCAAGAAUGCAGACAUCAUCUUUACAGAGGGCAGUGGUUGGUUAAUGUGAAAAGGAUUCCCAAUAAAACAGUAAAGUCACUGGCAACAAAAGUCCUUCCGAGGAACACAGAGACAUAAAAGGGUUCCUCCUGUGGAGACCACGUGCCUGUGAGGUUCCGUGUGAUUCUAUCUGAAGAUAUUGUAAGGGUUUUGGAGACAUUGUAAGGGUAUAUAUUUCAGUGACAAGUCAGUUUUAGAAACAGAACUAGAGAUAAUGGCUUAAUUAUCCAACUUAGUUCAAAUGCAUGAAACUGAAUGUCUAGAAUGUCAAUUUAUACUAGAGUUUUCAGAACUAACAGAAUGAUGGACAUGCAUGGAAAAUUGUAGUGUUGGGCAAAAGUUUAAAUGUUUUCAAGAACUCUUAUGCAAUUGGGAAAUUCAAGACUAGAGUACAGAUUUCCUUUGUACAUCAAUAGAAAUAAGCAGUACUUAUUUGGAAAAUAAGUAAGAAACUCUAAACUAUGCCAUCUUCCCUUGGUAGUGAAAAAGUUUUGAAAGCUUUCUUAUAUUUUCUAAAAUAGACUUGAUAACAAUAAGGUAAAAUUGAGAACCAAUGAAGUAAAAGUGUAGUUUUAUCAUACACAGAAGCUGUUCUUACACUGUAAGAACCCAGUUUUUCCAUGUGUCCUCUAACCACUAGCACUAAAUGAACACUUAAGUAUAUUUUUUACUAUGUUAUUUACAUACAUUAUUUUCUCUUAAUAUAUACUAAUUCCACAAAAGUAGUAGUGAUGGUCAUAAUUCUGUGAGGGAAACUGACUUAAAGAGCUUAAAGUAAUUUGUUUGAUAGCAGUGCCCCAAAUUGGAAUAACCACAAUUUCUCUUCCAGUUUAUGUGACACAAGAACCCUCUUCCUCAUCCUUGAUGGUCUGUAGAUUAUUGAUGUUGCUGGAAAUAAAACUGGCCUGCAUUGCAAAUUUGAGAAACAAAGAGCUGCUAACUCACUCAAGACGGCCUGUGUGCCUUUUGGGGGGUUGGCAGUCAAAUGUGGCACCAAACUCUGGAUCCAAUCAAAUGUUUAGUACUGUCCAACCUUCCAUAUGGUUGAGAGAUCUGGGUCUGUCACAGAUGUCGCAGGCAGCUUCCUACAUCACCUGCAAGACAUAUGUGACAUAAAUGUGAAAGCAGAAUUUCUAAAAGUUACCCCACCUGGGUUGGUAAUGGUGAGGCAAAGAUCAGCACAGUAGCAAGUAUGGGAACCAGGAAAAGUUUGGGGAUGAUUCAUAUUAAGGCCCUUAAGGCCCGAGUCAGCUGCUCCACAGGGAGCUGAAAUGGGGCAUUGUGAGGAGGUGGAGGCAGGGCUGGCAAAAGAAAGGCUUGGAGGACACAUUGAAUCACAACUUCUAACAGUGUGGCGUGGCUAUGCAAACAACAUCAGACAGGCCAAACUUACAUGCAAAAAAAUCAAAGACUGAGUGACUCUUUCUGGGCAAGUGUGUCUGGCAGCCUACGAGGAGGAAAGGAAAGGCUGCAAGUACAAUAUGCUCUGCAGACAGAGGAGAGAGUCCCAGCCCAAAGACGGCUUCCAUGUGUGUGAAGUGUGGAAAAGCUGAGACAUGUACUGGGCUCUUCAGCCACAUUCUCACCCUUGGAAAGCAAUCCGCCACCAGACAAAUCUCCAAUUUAAAUGACAGCAAAAUGUAUGCUUGGAGUUAUCUGACCAAAUUAGCAACUGAGAUAUUCUAGGGACUUAAUUUGCACAUUGAGUUUUAAUAGUAUUAUAUUUGUAUAGCAGAUUAUGUAACCAAAAAUGUUAAUGGGAAAAUGAUUUUAUUUGACUGGGAAAUUGGCACUCUGACUAAUUGUCUGAAAAGGAGCCAAUUUUAAAAUUCAGAUGCUAUUUGAAUGAACUAGUAUCAACUGAAUUAGGAUUUAUUGUGUAAAAUAUGCAGUUUUUAAAAAUAGUCUAAGGAAAGAAAAAAAGGACUCAAUGAACUAAGUUUGUGUCCUUCUCUGUGUUCUUGGACGAGCUUCAGAAUGACACAAAUAAGACCAUCGAAGUCAUCAGGGAGACUGGGGCAGCAUGGGACAUGAUAAAUGGCCUGUAAUGAACAUACUGUAGGAAUAUGGCUUUUCUUGUUUCUAUGUUUCUUUUUUAUUUCUUUUUUUUUAAUCACUGGAAGGGGUUGGAUUCUUUAUACUACUUGACCAUAUAACAAUUAUUUACUAAAAUUUUUGGUUACUUAUGUAAAAAUGUCUUGAAGUGUUAUAUGCUUAUCUAUCUAUCUAUCUAUCUAUCUAUCUAUCUAUCUAUCUACAUAUAUAUUGGUAUGACAUGACACAUAUACUUUGGAAUAACAAUGCUUUGAAUGUGAUAUUAGUAUGCUUGGUAUAUUAUGGAAGUCCAAAGUUUAUAAUAAAUACUGAUAUUUUUCUUACUGUGAAAUUUAUUAGCUGUAACUGGCAGAUAUUAAAUAAGAAAUAAUACUGAGAACUAGUUAUUUUCAUGGAAGAAAGUAUUAAAAACCACCCACUUUAUCCUUUGAAAAGAUCUCCUUUGUUAGUGAACUGUAAUGAUCUUAUUAUUCAAGAUAUCCCUGUCACAUCCUGAGUAAGCUUGGGUCUUGUAAGUAAUAUUUAAGUAGCACUUUUCUUUCAUAACUUGCUUUUGGGGGUAUGGAACACUGCAAGGCUCCUUCAGAUAAGUCUUUUCCUCUUCACUCCAUCUCUGGCAGCCCCCCUCCUUAAGACAAAAUCUUCAAGUUGCCAUAGAAAACUGUGAGUGUUAAAUGAAUAUCUUUGACAGGAGCUAAGACUUUUGGGCAUUAAAAUAAAGUUUUGCUUCUUUCUUGGCAACUAAAGCUUGAGUGUGUGCUUUGACACCAGGAGCAUAGGAUGUGAGCAAGGCAACUUUCAGAGCCUCGGAGGUGUCGGUACAAGUAAAGUCAGCAAUAGUCAACAGUAUUAAGGUAAUUUCCCACUUCUAGAAUCCCAGCAAGUCAGUGAGCUCAUUGCCCCUCUUGGCUGGUAGAGCCUCAUUCUCUAUUGUCAAAUGCCACAUAAAACUGUCUUUCAACUCCUAGGGCAGCAAUUCUUGAGAAAAGCAUAGAGGUAAAACAAAACCAUGUGCAAACAUUUUAAAAUAGUGUUUCUUGAUUCAUUCACAAGAAUGAAUGUUGUUAUUGUUGGGGGGAGAUUUCCCCUGAAUAUCACAUAGACAGAAUACUUACUAUGUUUGUUUGAAUUGCUUCAAGAGCUGACGCUAUCAGCUUCUAAGUGAAGAAGUGUUGCCACUAUCUCCUGGUUUGUUUCAGUCUUAGGAUUGUAAAAUAUGAUUAUAUUUGUAUUGUGCAUGUAGAAAACAUUUUCUUGCUGGUCAUGAAAUAAUCCAACCUUUUUAAUGAUAGAUGCAUGUACAAACUGAUGCCUACGUGUCACAAAUUGAGACUGGUGGAUUUUUUUCCCACUAAGACACACGUCUAUGUAUCCAAACACCACGGUAAGAAGCAGGACAUUAUGCAUAGCAGGGUUUACAAUCAUUCGAAUUGUCUGAAAACUUUCAUGUUCUUUUUGUUUUUAAUUUUUCAAGGUUGCAAAGCAUACCCACAUAGAGGUUGCGCCUGUUUUCAAACAUUUUUGUUUAGUAAAACUCCCCCUAAUAUCUCAUCACAUAAUUUCUACUAAUAUUUAAUUCAUUGCACGUAGCAACCUGUAUAGCUAUAAGAGAGGACAUAAAUUAGCAUUGCAGAGUAUGAACAUUUGCUUCAUGGCAAAACUGUUUCUUCUGGCAACCAUUUUGCAUUUUUAAAGCCACAGCACCCUGUGUAACAGAACUCCAAGCAGCGGGGCAGCAAAACGGAAUAAAGAUACUGUAAGUAAAUGAAAGAGGGCUGAGGGGUUAAAAACUUUGCUGGAUGAAUUUUACCAUGGCUGCCCCAAGUUCAUAAUCUCAGUGGAUGAAUGAAGAGGGUCCCAUGUGGGAUUUAUAAACUUGCUGGAAAUGGAUGAGAAGCCUUCUGCUCUGCUGGAGUUUAAUCCAGCAAAACCACUUGUGAUGGCAUGAACUAAAAAUAGAAGCAAAUGUUCAAAGAAAGUGGAGCAUCUAUUGCGCAAUAUGAGCUUAACGCUUUUGAACGAAUGUCUCACAUCCAAGAAUUUAUUAAAAGUUGUAACUACCAUGUUUCAGAUAUAUUUAGUACUGACCUUUUGGGAAUGGAUGACCUAUCAGUUGGCUGAUCCCUGGAGAAAAUGGAUUCUGCUUUCCUCAGCAGCUGUUGAUUGCCUGUAGUCCUUCAUCUAGAAGCUGACCUUGUGUUUAAAAUACAAAGUUCAGGAAGAAGCCCAGCAUGGCUGACCUCUGAGAGGCCCUACAAGCAGCUGCUUGAAACAGUCACAGAUACUUACACUCAACCAAUGGACUGAAGUUGGAGAGUCCUGUGGAUGAAUUAUGAAAGGCUGAAAGAAGAAACCACAAGGCCAGAUUUCCCUCUAGGAAUAUGUUGUUACACAACUAACUGCCUUGGUAUUGAUGCUUUGUCAGGGUCUCAUGUAUCUCAGGCUGGUUACACGCUAGCAAUUUACUGAAAAAUAAUCUUGAACUGAUCUUCUGACCUCUAGCUCUUAUUGGUAAAAGAGGCUGGCAUAUGCCACCAUAUCUGGUUUUCGUGGAAUUUUUCCCUUUUACAAAUUUCUAUUAAUUUAUUGAAAAUCUCUCAUGAUUAUGUACUUUCAUUUUUAGAUAAUUUUUCUCCCUCCAACACCUUCCAUGUUAAUUGUAUGUCUCAAAUUGAUGUAUUUCUAUUCUUUAAUUAUUAUAUAUUGUAUUUAUAUAACUUAUAAAUAGAACUUGCUGAGUUCAUUAAGUUCUUUUCGCACAGGUAUUUAUUUAGGGCUGACCACUUGGAAUGGCAUAGCCUAUCUGGGGAUUUUUCCUUGGAGAAAACAGAUUCCUCUUCUCUUAAUUACCUGAAGGGAAACUGUUACUUCAGUAGGAAAAUUCUUCUACCUUGAACUUGAGAGCUUGCAACCUACCCCCGAGUCUUCCUUUCAGGCCUGCUUCUUUUUGUCUCGCCUCUCACUUUGUUAUGUGAUAGAAAAUCUUCCAUAGUCUUGAGAAUCAUGAUUUUUUUUUUAAGUUUGAUAUGCACAGAACACAAAUUAAAUGUAACAAUUAUUUGUGGUAAGCCACUUUCCUGAUGCUGGAAGAAUGAUUUUUCUUUGCUUCUGAUAAAAAUCCAAAGUCAUUGAAAAAGCUGAUUCAACUAAGUCUUCAGUGAAAAACCAGUUCUGUAAACUCUGCCAUGCUCAUUUACUGAAGUUAUCCCAUGUUUGGCCCGAAUAUGAAAAUUUUUUGAAACAUAAACUUACUUCACUGUGUUUAAAGGCAAGAAUAUGGAAUAAAAGCAGAGAGUGUUAAGCCAGCAUUCCCAGGUCACUUGUAAAGAUGAGCAUGCAUAGACCCUUCUGUCAAGACCCUGAUCCUGGACCAAAUUAUAACCCAAAAUUUGGUGAAGCACAUACCAGGAUGUGCAUAUUAAUUUUUAUUCAUAAACUUAACCAAAUAUUACUCACUCUACACAGAACAGAUGGAAACAGCCAUUUCUUUUCUGGACUCAGAAUAUUGAAUUAUGAGAGGUCAGGGAAAAAUUCUCAAUGAUGAUCAAGACAGAAUUACUAGGGAAACAAUAUAAGAAACCAGUGAAUUUAUGUAUGAUUGGUUGUUUUUACUCUUAUACAUUUUUAGUAAUUCACAAACAUCAUAGAUUACUUCUAUCAAAGACAUACAUAUGUAACAUAUUCCUAAUAUUUCAUCCUUUCAUUUAGAAAUACACAUGGUCUUCAAUCUUUUUUUUAUUAGAAAUUUUCUUUACUUACAUUUCAAAUGCUAUCCCGAAAGUUCCCUAUAUGCUACCCCGCCCUGCUCCUUGUCUUCUAUCUUAAUUAUGUGAAUUAUGUAAUUUCUAAUGUUACUUUCAGUUCAUUAUUUUGCUUGGCUAUAAACGUUACAUUUAUUUGAACUUAGGAUAUUUGUAAUACUCAGAGAACUUUAUACUAUGCAUCCUCCCUGCUCAAUGUAAAUGAUAUUCAUCCAUGUGUUGGUAACACACAACUGGACAGCUGUAUCCUGUGACCCUGAUGUAUCCACAAGCGAGGUUGAUUAAUAAACUUCACGUUUAAGUUUUAAUACAGACUAUUAAGCUGCUUUCUAGCUGCAUGUUUGUCCCCAUUCCCUCUUGUUUUUUCAGUAUUUAAGCUUCAGCUGCAUGUUUGUCCCCAUUCCCUCUUGUUUUUUCAGUAUUUAAGCUUCUCCUUUUGAGGUAUGGUAACCAUAUGACCUUAUUCUAGCUGUUUCUUUCCUAUAUGAAGUUAACCAUUACUUAUGAAUGCGGUAAUUUACCUACAAUAUUGAGCCACCAUCAUGUAUCAUUUUAAUAUUAGAGCUUAUAAAUCUAGUCCACAUGCUUUUCUUACUGAAAUAUCUACUCAAUGUAUGUGUUUGUGUUUGUUUGUGAGUGCAUGCAUGUUUGAUAAUCUCUUUCAGUGAUCUCAAUUUUAAUUAUCAUUGAGGUUUUGCCCACAUAGCUACUUCUAUAGGAAACCCUGCCUUCAAUUCUCUAAAUUGUAUAUAUAUAUAUUUGCAGUUUUCUAAAUCACACCUCCCAUUUGCUGCCCCUGUAUUUUGUUACUGUCUUCUGUAUAGAUAGCUGUUGAGAUGGAGCAGGCAGCAAGAGUUCUAUAUGUUUGACAGACAUAUAAGCCAGUUGGCUUGCCAAGACAUCUGUUUUCUCUUUAGGGUAUAUAAAAAUGAUUCUCCACCUGGUAGGUUUGGAGAGAUCUUUGCUGCCAGAUUUCAGUUGUGGCAAACAUAUAGUUUGCUUGGUCACUAAGCUUUAAGAAGCUGGAAAGUCCUUUGAAUCAGCUAGUUUUUACAGGACAGCUAAAGAGGAUGCCCUGCCCUACCCAGUAUCUCAUGGUCUCAUUAGAUAUAGAAGGAGAAGGUGAAUUAAAAGAAAAAUCCUUAAAGUUUUAACAUUUGGAUAUGAUUACUAUCUUUUUCCCAUAAUAAUUUUAGUAAAAACAAAGAAUGAAGAUAAGUGUAUACAUACCUCUAAGAGAAACCUUGUUUAAUAAGACAAAAUUAUAAACAAUUAUGAAAACUGAGGGUUAAUUUAAAAUUUAAAGUGUAAUUCUUUUACUAUGCAUUGCUUCCCCAUUUUACAUCAUGAUAGAAGCUUAGAAUCUUAGAAUCUUAAGCCAUACCUUAAAAAAUCAUAAAAUACUACAAACUGGGCUUUUUGUUCAUGCUUAUUUUCAAAGGUUAUAAUGCUAAUUUAGUAUGUGUUGGCAUAUCAAUAGGUCAAGUUAUAAAGGAUGAUGAUAAAAACUUCCACUGGUCUCUUAGGAAAUAGAGACCACUGGCUACUAACAAAGGAAGACCAAAAGUACCUGGGCUUGGUAUAAGUUAGAAGACACAGUUGAGCCCAAGACCUCACACAUGUGAAACAUGCAUUUUGUCACGGAGUCUCCAGUGGGCAACAAACAUAUAUGACUAGUUCAUGUGUUCUAUAAUUACCUCCGGAAGUUGAGAAAAGUAAGUUCUGACUUGAAUUUCUUGAAUCCAGAGUGUGGGAUGGGAUAAUGUUUGUUGAAAAGGAACAAGAAGAAAGUAGUGAUGCAAGAGUAAUGUAACCACUGGGCAGCAGGGAUGCUGUUGUGAAGCAAGAAGUGUUAACAAAGUAGCAUUCUACACAUAUGUAGAAUGUUUCAGAACAAAAUUGCAAGUGUAUGGGAAUUUCUUAUUAACAUAAUAGUGUUUCUGCAUUCAGGUAUAAUGGUAUGUAACCCACUCCAGUUAUCUUAGACAUAUCAGUAUUAAUAGAGAAGGAUAUGGCAGUAGCUGAGGUAGGAAACUAAACUAACAAUGUGAUUGGAGGAGAGGGCUGCCUUGAGUUUGUUAACUAUAGAAGUACUUGUAUCCAAGAAUAAUAUUCAGGGUAGGGGAGGUGCCACAGGGAAAUAAAAUGCUUGUGUGGUAUAGACAGGCCCUAGGUUUACUCCCUGGUAAUACACAAAAUAAAACAAACUCCAAACUUUUGUGUAAGUCCCUUGCAAUGUGUUUAGGUUUUAUUGUGGUGUAGGCUGCUUUGAGUAUCAAAGGGCAUUAAAAUAUAGAAGAUAAAAAUAGAGUGAGCUUUUUAAUGGUUUUUCCAGAUAAACCUAGUUUAACAUUCUAUAGAAUUUUCAAUAAAACCAUUGAGUAAUUGUGUUAAUGAGUUGAAUACAGUUGCAGAAAUUGCUUUCCAGUGGGUUGAUUCCUCAGUACUUGGGCUUACUACAGAAUAUUGUGUCUGUCUUUUGAAUGUUAAAAAGCAGCUAAGUCAAGACUGCUUUGUUUUCUUUAAUUCAGCUAUAUUUUCAUGCUCCUGGUAUUACCUUGUACUUUUAUGGAAUCUAGCUUCUGUCACUCCCCUUACUCUGACCCCCCUAGAUGUCAUUUUCAUUUAUACCUUUAGAAAGGUAUCAUAUUGAGCUCUAUAAAGAAUUUGCUCUCAAUUUUGCUGUUUUAAAAUGCAAAUAGCAUAUAUACUAAUGUUAGAAACCAUGAUUGCACCUUCUCAUAGGUGUUUUUCACCCAUUAUUUUCUGCCAAUGUUUUAAAAGUGCACAUUAAGCUUAUAUUUCUUAAAGAUGUGUUUUUCAAACUGCAGCUGACAUAACUGAACAUGUGUUUAUACCAAUAAAAUACCCAAACUCUGUUCCAAAUAUGCUCCUAUCAAAAUCUCUGAUGUUACCUUAGAGAAAAACAUUUCCAGUACUCUAACAUUAGAUUUUUUUUCCUUUUCUAUGUUUUUCUAUUUGUUAAAAAUAAAUAUGUCAAUUGUUUUAACAAGG
Mus musculus (house mouse) is the source of this 9891-nucleotide long non-coding RNA. RefSeq annotates it as predicted gene, 31145. The record is from RefSeq and is a predicted model, not a curated record. The transcript is spliced from 7 exons. Lineage: Eukaryota; Metazoa; Chordata; Mammalia; Rodentia; Muridae.